AGUGAACGCUGGCGGUAGGCCUAAUACAUGCAAGUCGAACGGCAGCACAGUAAGAGCUUGCUCUUACGGGUGGCGAGUGGCGGACGGGUGAGGAAUACAUCGGAAUCUACUUUUUCGUGGGGGAUAACGUAGGGAAACUUACGCUAAUACCGCAUACGACCUACGGGUGAAAGCAGGGGAUCUUCGGACCUUUCGCGAUUGAAUGAGCCGAUGUCGGAUUAGCUAGUUGGCGGGGUAAAGGCCCACCAAGGCGACGAUCCGUAGCUGGUCUGAGAGGAUGAUCAGCCACACUGGAACUGAGACACGGUCCAGACUCCUACGGGAGGCAGCAGUGGGGAAUAUUGGACAAUGGGCGCAAGCCUGAUCCAGCCAUACCGCGUGGGUGAAGAAGGCCUUCGGGUUGUAAAGCCCUUUUGUUGGGAAAGAAAAGCAGCAGGUUAAUACCCCGCUGUUCUGACGGUACCCAAAGAAUAAGCACCGGCUAACUUCGUG
Molecule: ribosomal RNA, 492 nt
Filed under: uncultured bacterium
Lineage: Bacteria
Description: partial 16S ribosomal RNA
Rfam family: Bacterial small subunit ribosomal RNA
Source: RNAcentral